RNAcentral lists this ribosomal RNA (446 nucleotides) under Veillonella parvula. RNAcentral's name for it is "bacterial SSU rRNA". It matches the Rfam family "Bacterial small subunit ribosomal RNA", at positions 28 to 437 of the family's 1533-position model. Lineage: Bacteria; Bacillati; Bacillota; Negativicutes; Veillonellales; Veillonellaceae. The record is from RNAcentral.
GACGAACGCGGGCGGCGUGCUUAACACAUGCAAGUCGAACGAAGAGCGAUGGAAGCUUGCUUCUAUCAAUCUUAGUGGCGAACGGGUGAGUAACGCGUAAUCAACCUGCCCUUCAGAGGGGGACAACAGUUGGAAGCGACUGCUAAUACCGCAUACGAUCUAAUCUCGGCAUCGAGGAUAGAUGAAAGGUGGCCUCUACAUGUAAGCUAUCACUGAAGGAGGGGAUUGCGUCUGAUUAGCUAGUUGGAGGGGUAACGGCCCACCAAGGCGAUGAUCAGUAGCCGGUCUGAGAGGAUGAACGGCCACAUUGGGACUGAGACACGGCCCAGACUCCUACGGGAGGCAGCAGUGGGGAAUCUUCCGCAAAUGGACGAAAAGUUCUGACGGGAGCAAACGCCCGCGUGAAGUGAAUGGACGGGCCCUUUCGGGUUGUAAAAGCUUCUGGU